Molecule: non-coding RNA, 1233 nt
Organism: Salmo salar (Atlantic salmon)
Lineage: Eukaryota; Metazoa; Chordata; Actinopteri; Salmoniformes; Salmonidae
Source: RefSeq, a predicted model, not a curated record
CCGCUUCAAGAAGCUGAGGUACGGGAGGUCCCUCCGCACCCCCUGGACAUCGUGGGGGCCCCGGCGUAUGCAGUGCGAUCCAUACUGGAUUCCAGGCCUCAGACGAUACUCAAAACAAAAUGCACGCCGAACUGGGAGCUGUGAACUGGGAAGCAGAUGUUCUUCUAAGGGACACCCUAGAGGCAGCAAGGUGAUGUGAACUCCAAACAUUUAAAGGCACUGUUUCCCUCCCUAGUGUAAUUGGGAUGGAAGGGGAAGACCGCAUUACAACCCUUAAAGAACUACAGUUGUAUGAUGGCCUGGAUGAAGAGAAAAAUGUUCUCCUCAAGGAACCAUUCAUGUUACAGAGAGAUUAUGAGUUGUUCUAUUUGGAGGCAGUUGACAACAAGAAAAUUACUGUCUUUGUCUCUUUUGAGGAGCAAAGCCAUUUUUGAGGAGUGGUUAAACUUUGUCUGCUGUGUUAAUUGUUUCAAUUGUUAAUUGUGUUGUUUAGUAAAGAUGACGUAGAAGUCAGCCGAGUCUGAUCUCUUUACUGGAGCUGGUAUAACUUAAUGUGCAAAGCACAUUCAGCUUGUCAGUAUAUCUAUAUGGUAUAGUCUGUCUCCAUUCUCAUGAGGAAAGUAAAUAACAUUAUAAAUCAGGAUGGGUAGUAACUGUGUGUAUAUAUGCUCAAUUAAAUAAUAUAAUUACAAAGUUAUAACAUUUAUCAACACAAUUUUAACAGUACAUAACAAGUCUGCUGUUCACUGCAACAAUUUCAGUAGUUUGUCUCAAAUAUAGUAUGACGCAAAAAGUGUUACAUCUGCUGGUACUUUAUAUAAUAUUUCUUACAAUCUUCAAAAAUGAAAUAUGUUUUUAUUCAACUUGUGCCUUGCGCAAAUGAGUGUUACUGUCAAACAUCAGAUGGACAAUAAAAAGGUGGGCAGGGUCAAAUGUGGGCAGAGUCAAACGUUUGACUCCGCCCACAUUGAACCCAGCCCCGAACUGCACACUGCAGUCAGGGGUACGUGGACUUGCUUGCUAGUUGAGAUUUCUGCUCUUCACUCCAUUGUCAGUUUAGCCUACAUUUCACUGAUCUUAGUAGCAGAAAGUAUUUUUUAUAUGUGUCCUUCAAGGCAGCUGUCAAUGAUCACGUUAGGCUGCGUUUCAUUUGAUUUGUUAUGGCGGUUUGAUCGCGGAGGAGGCACUAGUAAUGUCUGCAGUUUUCGGUUUGUCAUUUUGUUUCAAGUGUAU